This 376-nucleotide unclassified non-coding RNA is filed under the name plant metagenome. RNAcentral describes it as "partial contains 5.8S ribosomal RNA, internal transcribed spacer 2, and large subunit ribosomal RNA". The stretch from base 1 to 105 matches the Rfam family "5.8S ribosomal RNA", at positions 50 to 154 of the family's 154-position model. The record is from RNAcentral.
GAAAUGCGAUAAGUAAUGUGAAUUGCAGAAUUCAGUGAAUCAUCGAAUCUUUGAACGCACCUUGCGCUCCUUGGUAUUCCUUGGAGCAUGCCUGUUUGAGUAUCAUGAAAUCUUCAAAGUAAAUCUUUUGUUAACUCAAUUGGUUUCUACUUUGGUAUUGGAGGUCUUUGCAGCUUCACACCUGCUCCUCUUUGUUCAUUAGCUGGAUCUCAGUGUUAUGCUUGGUUCCACUCGGCGUGAUAAGUUAUCUAUCGCUGAGGACACUGUAAAAGGUGGCCAAGGUAAAUGCAGAUGAACCGCUUCUAAUAGUCCAUUGACUUGGACAAUACUUUUAUGAUCUGAUCUCAAAUCAGGUAGGACUACCCGCUGAACGUAA